AAGUCGAACGGUGAUGCCCAGCUUGCUGGGUGGAUCAGUGGCGAACGGGUGAGUAACACGUGAGCAACCUGCCCCUCACUUCGGGAUAAGCCUUGGAAACGGGGUCUAAUACCGGAUAUGAGCACCUUCCGCAUGGUGGGUGUUGGAAAGUUUUUCGGUGGGGGAUGGGCUCGCGGCCUAUCAGCUUGUUGGUGGGGUAAUGGCCUACCAAGGCGUCGACGGGUAGCCGGCCUGAGAGGGCGACCGGCCACACUGGGACUGAGACACGGCCCAGACUCCUACGGGAGGCAGCAGUGGGGAAUAUUGCACAAUGGGCGAAAGCCUGAUGCAGCGACGCCACGUGAGGGAUGACGGCCUUCGGGUUGUAAACCUCUUUCAGCAGGGAAGAAGCGAGAGUGACGGUACCUGCAGAAGAAGCGCCGGCUAACUACGUGCCAGCAGCCGCGGUAAUACGUAGGGCGCAAGCGUUGUCCGGAAUUAUUGGGCGUAAAGAGCUCGUAGGCGGUCUGUCGCGUCUGGUGUGAAAUCCCAUGGCUCAACUGUGGGCUUGCAUCGGGUACGGGCAGACUAGAGUGCUGUAGGGGAGACUGGAAUUCCUGGUGUAGCGGUGGAAUGCGCAGAUAUCAGGAGGAACACCGAUGGCGAAGGCAGGUCUCUGGGCAGUUACUGACGCUGA
RNAcentral lists this ribosomal RNA (676 nucleotides) under Promicromonospora sp. YIM 48840. Its description in RNAcentral is "bacterial SSU rRNA". It matches the Rfam family "Bacterial small subunit ribosomal RNA", at positions 59 to 749 of the family's 1533-position model. Lineage: Bacteria; Bacillati; Actinomycetota; Actinomycetes; Micrococcales; Promicromonosporaceae. The record is from RNAcentral.